UUUUAUAGUUAGAUUGAGUGAUGAUUUUCUCUCUCAGAGAUGUCAGUGGAAACAUUCCUAACUGCCCGAGGCAGUCAUAUGCCACAGCUGGCACCGUAUUUAAACUACUUCCCCACACCCCAUGAAUAUGUGGCAGAAGGGACUUCGCAGAUGUAAUUAAAGAUCUGGAGAUGGGAAGACUACCUGGAAUUAUCCAGGUGAGUCCAAUGAUGUAAGCACAAGUGUACUUACAAGGGGAAAACAGAGGGAGAGGAGACCACAGAAGAGGAGAAGGUGAUGUGAUGAUAAGAGCAAAGACAGACUGGAGAUGCUGCACUGCUGGCUUUGAAGAUGAAGAAGGUCCCAUGAACUAAGAAAAGCAAGGAGUGCAGCUCUAGAAGCUGGAAAGGGCCAGUAAUUACAGGUGGAGUAAAGAAUACAUACAGGUAUUCAAAGAUUUAAGAUGACAUGAGAUCUUUGGCGUUAGAGUUAUAAAAGUUGAUUUAUUCCAGAAGAUCCAGAAAAGUGGUUCAAUGAAGCCUUCUCUGUAUGUUGAGACUAUUUGCUUCAACGCAUGUCUCCAGGAUUUUCUUAAAAAAAUCAGCAUUGAAAUGAAAAAUUCCAACUACGGAAAAAACAAAACUCAAAGUUAAGGCCAACGAUCAAAAAUAAAAUAAAAUAAAAUUAUCCCUUUGAUCCUAAAGCUAAAUCUAAAGUAAUCUGCAGCAAAAGGCCUUUUUAGUUUAAGGAU
Molecule: long non-coding RNA, 730 nt
Organism: Canis lupus familiaris (dog)
Lineage: Eukaryota; Metazoa; Chordata; Mammalia; Carnivora; Canidae
Exons: 3
Source: RefSeq, a predicted model, not a curated record